RNAcentral lists this small nucleolar RNA (141 nucleotides) under Orchesella cincta. RNAcentral's name for it is "Small nucleolar RNA SNORA57". It matches the Rfam family "Small nucleolar RNA SNORA57". From Rfam's summary of the family: U99 belongs to the H/ACA class of snoRNAs which are thought to guide the sites of modification of uridines to pseudouridines, the target for this family is unknown. The record is from Rfam by way of RNAcentral. Lineage: Eukaryota; Metazoa; Arthropoda; Collembola; Entomobryomorpha; Orchesellidae.
CCUCCUGUCUUGGCAUGCGAUCGUUUACCCCAUAGCGAUUCAUGAGUGCUUCCAGGAGGUAAAUUAAAGUAGAGGAUAUUAUGCCUUCGGUGUCUAUUGCUUUUGCGACGAUAGAUUCCAUCCUCAAAAUAUCUUACAAAA